AUGGAGGGGCGCACAGGGUACCGCAUGGGUUUUGUGGGCCUCUCUGCCCGUGGGCCCCCGUCUCCUGCAGGGACACUAACCCUCUCCUCCUCGUCCUCUGUUUUCCUUCGAGCGUCUGUGCAGGUUCUGACCAUGAGUCACUCCACGGCUCAGGCUCCUGUGAAAUCCGUUUCUGGUGCUGCUCCUCCCACACCUGCCCCAGUGGUUCCUGUCGCCCUGCCCGUGCUGGCCCUGCCGUCACGACUUGCCCCAGGUUCAGCUGCCCGGGUCCCCAUUUGUCGUCUACGAUCAUGGUUGCCAAACCUACUGCUGCCUUUUCUCAUGAUUUUUUCUUGUUUCUUACUGAUAAAGGACCCCUUUAUCUACUCGCGUGGAUCUCACCCGUUGGCUGUAUUUGAUUUGAGGUCUUCAUGCUCAUCUACAUCACAUUCUCGGUGCAUCUGUCCCCGUGACGGUGCCCCACACGCUGAGCAGGGGCCGCGCACCGGCGCCUCUGGCCACUGUGGCCCGAGAAUGCGCAUUCUGGCUCUGGUUCUGUGUCGUGAGCUGCCCGGCCUAGCCGCGUGUCCCCAGAGCCCGAGGGGGACGGGAGACGCCUCCCGUGAGACCAAAUGUAUGUUUGCUCUGCAUCGUGCUUCUGGCUCCCUAACCCCCUGGGGUUUUCCAGCAGGGCCUGGGGGCCUGAGGAGGCCGGGACCACCCCCCUGCCACACACACACACAGCAAACCUCCACCAGCUGCUCCGCGGGGCCCUGUGAAGCUGGGAAGGACUCCGGGGCAGCGAGGGGCAAAUACUGUCCCCCCUCAAGAAGGUCGAGUUAUUCACUAGCCUCCAAAAUAAAUAAAUGAGCACCACAGUACUUAACGGAACGUGUUUUAAUUCUUACCUUGACCAGAGAAGUAAUCCCCCUGCCGGACAUGAGUGCGUGCUUCCAGGUCGUCCUGCACACUUGUCCC
RNAcentral lists this long non-coding RNA (957 nucleotides) under Felis catus (domestic cat). RNAcentral's name for it is "lncRNA (ENSFCAG00000047598.1)". Lineage: Eukaryota; Metazoa; Chordata; Mammalia; Carnivora; Felidae. The record is from RNAcentral.